Molecule: ribosomal RNA, 449 nt
Filed under: uncultured bacterium
Lineage: Bacteria
Description: partial 16S ribosomal RNA
Rfam family: Bacterial small subunit ribosomal RNA
Source: RNAcentral
AACGAACGCUGGCGGCAUGCCUAACACAUGCAAGUCGAACGAGAUCUUCGGGUCUAGUGGCGCACGGGUGCGUAACGCGUGGGAAUCUGCCCUUUGGUUCGGAAUAACAGUUGGAAACGACUGCUAAUACCGGAUGAUGACGAAAGUCCAAAGAUUUAUCGCCAGAGGAUGAGCCCGCGUAGGAUUAGCUAGUUGGUGUGGUAAAGGCGCACCAAGGCGACGAUCCUUAGCUGGUCUGAGAGGAUGAUCAGCCACACUGGGACUGAGACACGGCCCAGACUCCUACGGGAGGCAGCGGUGGGGAAUAUUGGACAAUGGGCGAAAGCCUGAUCCAGCAAUGCCGCGUGAAUGAUGAAGGCCUUAGGGUUGUAAAGCUCUUUUACCCGGGAUGAUAAUGACAGUACCGGGAGAAUAAGCCCCGGCUAACUCCGUGCCAGCCGCCGCGGUAA